GUCGCCCUCAACAGGUGAGCCAGGCCGUGGGAGGGCGCCCCCGAGACUGCCACCUGCUCACCACCCCCCUCUGCUCGUAGGUCUCUGGCCAUCACCCUCCCAGAGCCUAACGGCAGUGCAACGGGGCUCACAGUCUGGCUGCACGGGCUCACCGCUAGUGUGCUCCCGGGGCUGCUGCGGCAGGCCGAUCCCCAGCACGUCAUCGAGUACUCGCUGGCCCUGGUCACCGUGCUGAACGAGCCCCCGCCCAGGAGGGCCCAUGUGCUUACCCUGUUUUGCCCAUGAAGAGACAGCUCAGUGUUGCGGGUCAGUGCCCACAUCACACAGCAUCUAGCACGUAACUGCACCCCGGGAGUCGUGGGCAUCCGCUGGCCUCCUGCCGGCCUCCUGCCCUGCUGACAGCUUGCUGUGCCCCCUGCCUGCCCCAGUACGAGCAGGCCCUGGACGUGGCGGCAGAGCCCAAGCACGAGCGGCAGCGCCGAGCCCAGAUACGCAAGAACAUCACGGAGACUCUGGUGUCCCUGCGGGUCCACACUGUGGAUGACA
Molecule: small RNA, 546 nt
Filed under: Pan troglodytes (chimpanzee)
Lineage: Eukaryota; Metazoa; Chordata; Mammalia; Primates; Hominidae
Description: processed transcript
Source: RNAcentral